GAUGAACGCUGGCGGCGUGCCUAAUACAUGCAAGUCGAGCGAACAGAUGAGGAGCUUGCUCCUCUGACGUUAGCGGCGGACGGGUGAGUAACACGUGGAUAACCUACCUAUAAGACUGGGAUAACUUCGGGAAACCGGAGCUAAUACCGGAUAAUAUAUUGAACCGCAUGGUUCAAUAGUGAAAGACGGUUUUGCUGUCACUUAUAGAUGGAUCCGCGCCGCAUUAGCUAGUUGGUAAGGUAACGGCUUACCAAGGCAACGAUGCGUAGCCGACCUGAGAGGGUGAUCGGCCACACUGGAACUGCGACACGGUCCAGACUCCUACGGGAGGCAGCAGUAGGGAAUCUUCCGCAAUGGGCGAAAGCCUGACGGAGCAACGCCGCGUGAGUGAUGAAGCUCUUCGGAUCGUAAAACUCUGUUAUUAGGGAAGAACAAAUGUGUAAGUAACUAUGCACGUCUUGACGGUACCUAAUCAGAAAGCCACGGCUAACUACGUG
Molecule: ribosomal RNA, 497 nt
Filed under: uncultured bacterium
Lineage: Bacteria
Description: partial 16S ribosomal RNA
Rfam family: Bacterial small subunit ribosomal RNA
Source: RNAcentral